This 1372-nucleotide ribosomal RNA is filed under the name uncultured bacterium. RNAcentral's name for it is "bacterial SSU rRNA". It matches the Rfam family "Bacterial small subunit ribosomal RNA", at positions 28 to 1381 of the family's 1533-position model. The record is from RNAcentral.
GUUGAACGCUGGCGGCGUGCCUAAUACAUGCAAGUCGAGCGAACGGACGAGAAGCUUGCUUCUCUGAUGUUAGCGGCGGACGGGUGAGUAACACGUGGAUAACCUACCUAUAAGACUGGGAUAACUUCGGGAAACCGGAGCUAAUACCGGAUAAUAUUUUGAACCGCAUGGUUCAAAAGUGAAAGACGGUCUUGCUGUCACUUAUAGAUGGAUCCGCGCUGCAUUAGCUAGUUGGUAAGGUAACGGCUUACCAAGGCAACGAUGCAUAGCCGACCUGAGAGGGUGAUCGGCCACACUGGAACUGAGACACGGUCCAGACUCCUACGGGAGGCAGCAGUAGGGAAUCUUCCGCAAUGGGCGAAAGCCUGACGGAGCAACGCCGCGUGAGUGAUGAAGGUCUUCGGAUCGUAAAACUCUGUUAUUAGGGAAGAACAUAUGUGUAAGUAACUGUGCACAUCUUGACGGUACCUAAUCAGAAAGCCACGGCUAACUACGUGCCAGCAGCCGCGGUAAUACGUAGGUGGCAAGCGUUAUCCGGAAUUAUUGGGCGUAAAGCGCGCGUAGGCGGUUUUUUAAGUCUGAUGUGAAAGCCCACGACUCAACCGUGGAGGGUCAUUGGAAACUGGAAAACUUGAGUGCAGAAGAGGAAAGUGGAAUUCCAUGUGUAGCGGUGAAAUGCGCAGAGAUAUGGAGGAACACCAGUGGCGAAGGCGACUUUCUGGUCUGUAACUGACGCUGAUGUGCGAAAGCGUGGGGAUCAAACAGGAUUAGAUACCCUGGUAGUCCACGCCGUAAACGAUGAGUGCUAAGUGUUAGGGGGUUUCCGCCCCUUAGUGCUGCAGCUAACGCAUUAAGCACUCCGCCUGGGGAGUACGACCGCAAGGUUGAAACUCAAAGGAAUUGACGGGGACCCGCACAAGCGGUGGAGCAUGUGGUUUAAUUCGAAGCAACGCGAAGAACCUUACCAAAUCUUGACAUCCUUUGACAACUCUAGAGAUAGAGCCUUCCUCUUCGGGGGACAAAGUGACAGGUGGUGCAUGGUUGUCGUCAGCUCGUGUCGUGAGAUGUUGGGUUAAGUCCCGCAACGAGCGCAACCCUUAAGCUUAGUUGCCAUCAUUAAGUUGGGCACUCUAAGUUGACUGCCGGUGACAAACCGGAGGAAGGUGGGGAUGACGUCAAAUCAUCAUGCCCCUUAUGAUUUGGGCUACACACGUGCUACAAUGGACAAUACAAAGGGCAGCGAAACCGCGAGGUCAAGCAAAUCCCAUAAAGUUGUUCUCAGUUCGGAUUGUAGUCUGCAACUCGACUACAUGAAGCUGGAAUCGCUAGUAAUCGUAGAUCAGCAUGCUACGGAGAAGACGUUCCCGGGUCU